This 109-nucleotide small RNA is filed under the name Paenibacillus wynnii. Its description in RNAcentral is "Guanidine-I sequence". It matches the Rfam family "Guanidine-I riboswitch aptamer". From Rfam's summary of the family: This family represents a conserved RNA structure found upstream of the ykkC and yxkD genes in Bacillus subtilis and related genes in other bacteria. The function of this family is unclear although it has been suggested that it may function to switch on efflux pumps and detoxification systems in response to harmful environmental molecules. Lineage: Bacteria; Bacillati; Bacillota; Bacilli; Caryophanales; Paenibacillaceae. The record is from Rfam by way of RNAcentral.
UACUUGGUUUUCUAGGGUUCCGCAGCUGAUUCCGGCUGGUCUGGUCCGAGGGAAAACGCACGGAUAAGAAUCGUCCGUGUCUACACGGAGGGAUAAAAGCCCGGGAGGU